RNAcentral lists this ribosomal RNA (605 nucleotides) under uncultured bacterium. RNAcentral's name for it is "bacterial SSU rRNA". It matches the Rfam family "Bacterial small subunit ribosomal RNA", at positions 332 to 929 of the family's 1533-position model. The record is from RNAcentral.
CCGACUCCUACGGGAGGCAGCAGUAGGGAAUCUUCGGCAAUGGACGAAAGUCUGACCGAGCAACGCCGCGUGAGUGAAGAAGGUUUUCGGAUCGUAAAACUCUGUUGGUAGAGAAGAACGUUGGUGAGAGUGGAAAGCUCAUCAAGUGACGGUAACUACCCAGAAAGGGACGGCUAACUACGUGCCAGCAGCCGCGGUAAUACGUAGGUCCCGAGCGUUGUCCGGAUUUAUUGGGCGUAAAGCGAGCGCAGGUGGUUUAUUAAGUCUGGUGUAAAAGGCAGUGGCUCAACCAUUGUAUGCAUUGGAAACUGGUAGACUUGAGUGCAGGAGAGGAGAGUGGAAUUCCAUGUGUAGCGGUGAAAUGCGUAGAUAUAUGGAGGAACACCGGUGGCGAAAGCGGCUCUCUGGCCUGUAACUGACACUGAGGCUCGAAAGCGUGGGGAGCAAGCAGGAUUAGAUACCCUGGUAGUCCACGCCGUAAACGAUGAGUGCUAGAUGUAGGGAGCUAUAAGUUCUCUGUAUCGCAGCUAACGCAAUAAGCACUCCGCCUGGGGAGUACGACCGCAAGGUUGAAACUCAAAGGAAUUGACGGGGGCCCGCACAAG